GACGAACGCUGGCGGCGUGCUUAACACAUGCAAGUCGAACGGAAAGGCCCUGCUUUUGUGGGGUGCUCGAGUGGCGAACGGGUGAGUAACACGUGAGUAACCUGCCCUUGACUUUGGGAUAACUUCAGGAAACUGGGGCUAAUACCGGAUAGGAGCUCCUGCUGCAUGGUGGGGGUUGGAAAGUUUCGGCGGUUGGGGAUGGACUCGCGGCUUAUCAGCUUGUUGGUGGGGUAGUGGCUUACCAAGGUUUUGACGGGUAGCCGGCCUGAGAGGGUGACCGGCCACAUUGGGACUGAGAUACGGCCCAGACGCCUACGGGAGGCAGCAGUGGGGAAUAUGGCACAAUGGGCGGAAGCCUGAUGCAGCAACGCCGCGUGCGGGAUGACGGCCUUCGGGUUGUAAACCGCUUUCGCCGGUGACGAAGCGUGAGUGACGGUAAUGGAUAAAGAAGCACCGGCUAACUACGUG
This 468-nucleotide ribosomal RNA is filed under the name uncultured bacterium. Its description in RNAcentral is "partial 16S ribosomal RNA". It matches the Rfam family "Bacterial small subunit ribosomal RNA", at positions 28 to 507 of the family's 1533-position model. The record is from RNAcentral.